UACGUAGGGUGCGAGCGUUAAUCGGAAUUACUGGGCGUAAAGCGUGCGCAGGCGGCUUUGCAAGAUAGAUGUGAAAUCCCCGGGCUCAACCUGGGAACUGCAUUUGUGACUGCAUGGCUAGAGUACGGUAGAGGGGGAUGGAAUUCCGCGUGUAGCAGUGAAAUGCGUAGAUAUGCGGAGGAACACCGAUGGCGAAGGCAAUCCCCUGGACCUGUACUGACGCUCAUGCACGAAAGCGUGGGGAGCAAACAGG
RNAcentral lists this ribosomal RNA (253 nucleotides) under uncultured bacterium. RNAcentral's name for it is "partial 16S ribosomal RNA". It matches the Rfam family "Bacterial small subunit ribosomal RNA", at positions 524 to 776 of the family's 1533-position model. The record is from RNAcentral.